CUAAAUCCCUAGCCCCACUUUAUUUUAUAAAAAACCCUUAACUCUCUCAACAUACUAAAACAUUUUACCAAUUUAGUAAAGGCGAAGAAAAAAUUACUUAGAGCAAUAAAAAUAGUACCGCAAGGGAAAGAUGAAAUAAAACUGAAAUAAUUUUAAGCACAAAAAAGUAGAGUUUUCCCCUCGUACCUUUCGCAUCAUGGUUUAACUAGUCUAAUUAGGCAAAAAGAACUUUAGUCUAACUUCCCGAACCUAGGCGAGCUACUUUAAGACAGCUUUUUGAGCCAACCCAUCUCUGUUGCAAAAGAGUGGGAAGAUCUUACAGUAGCGGUGACAGACCUAACGAGCCUAGUGAUAGCUGGUUGCUUUAUAAAAGGAUUUUAGUCCCACUUAAAGAUAAACUAUACUUAAAAAUUUACUUUAAAGUAAUUCAAAUAAGGUUCAGCCUAUUUGAAAAAGGAUACAACCUUCAACAUUGGGUAAUUUCCAUUUUUUGUUUGACUAAGUAGGCCUAAAAGCAGCCAUCUUAAACAAAAGCGUCAAAGCUUAUUCACCUUAAAAUUUAAUUCUAUUCUUAAUUUUUAACCCUUCAUUACCAAAAAGCAAUUCUAUAUCAUUAUAGAAGAUUUUAUGUUAAAACUAGUAACAAGAAGUUAACCCUUCUCUUAAAUGUACCUGUUAUUCAGCAAGGAUUCACCACUGCAAUUUAACGUCCUUAAACUCCAAGUAGUAACAUCUCAAGAAAAUCCUACUUUUUUUCACGUUGACCUAACACAAGAACAUCCUAAGAAAGAUUUAAAGAAAAAGAAGGAAUUCGGCAAACAUUAGCCUCGCCUGUUUACCAAAAACAUCGCCUCUUGAUUUAUCAUAAGAGGUCAAGCCUGCCCAGUGACAUUGUUCAACGGCCGCGGUAUCCUAACCGUGCGAAGGUAGCGUAAUCAUUUGUCCUUUAAAUGAGGACUUGUAUGAAUGGCUUCACGAAAGCUAUACUGUCUCCUUUUUCUAAUCAGUAAAAUUAAUCUUCCCGUGAAGAAGCGGGAAUAAAUCUAUAAGACGAGAAGACCCUAUGGAGCUUCAAACAACUGAGACAUUUGAUUUCUUAUCUUUAAAUCUUUAUAAAACUAAACAUUUUGUCUCUAGUUUUAGGUUGGGGUGACCACGGAGCAAAAUUUAACCUCCAUGACGAAUAAAAUCCUUAUUUUUUAAGCAAAAAGUUACAUCUUUACGCAUCAACAAAUUGACCUUCAUUGACCCAAUUAAUUGAUCAACGAACCAAGUUACCCUAGGGAUAACAGCGCAAUCCACUUCAAGAGCUCUUAUCGACAAGUGGGCUUACGACCUCGAUGUUGGAUCAGGGUGUCCCAGUGGUGCAGCCGCUACUAACGGUUCGUUUGUUCAACGAUUAAAACCCU
This 1409-nucleotide ribosomal RNA is filed under the name Dryadobates olfersioides. RNAcentral's name for it is "partial 16S ribosomal RNA". It matches the Rfam family "Bacterial large subunit ribosomal RNA", at positions 401 to 2597 of the family's 2925-position model. The record is from RNAcentral. Lineage: Eukaryota; Metazoa; Chordata; Amphibia; Anura; Aromobatidae.